UACAGAGGUCUCAAGCGUUGUUCGGAUUCAUUGGGCGUAAAGGGUGCGUAGGCGGCGCGGUAAGUCGGGUGUGAAAUUUCGGAGCUUAACUCCGAAACUGCAUUCGAUACUGGCGUGCUUGAGGACUGGAGAGGAGACUGGAAUUCAUGGUGUAGCAGCGAAAUGCGUAGAGAUCAUGAGGAAGACCAGUGGCGAAGGCGGGUCUCUGGACAGUUCCUGACACUGAGACACGAAGGCCAGGGGAGCAAACGGG
Molecule: ribosomal RNA, 253 nt
Filed under: uncultured bacterium
Lineage: Bacteria
Description: partial 16S ribosomal RNA
Rfam family: Bacterial small subunit ribosomal RNA
Source: RNAcentral